Molecule: transfer RNA, 87 nt
Filed under: Planctomycetota bacterium
Lineage: Bacteria; Pseudomonadati; Planctomycetota
Also listed under: 2 other names
Description: tRNA-Ser
Rfam family: tRNA
About the family: Transfer RNA (tRNA) molecules are approximately 80 nucleotides in length. Their secondary structure includes four short double-helical elements and three loops (D, anti-codon, and T loops). Further hydrogen bonds mediate the characteristic L-shaped molecular structure. tRNAs have two regions of fundamental functional importance: the anti-codon, which is responsible for specific mRNA codon recognition, and the 3' end, to which the tRNAs corresponding amino acid is attached (by aminoacyl-tRNA synthetases). tRNAs cope with the degeneracy of the genetic code in two manners: having more than one tRNA (with a specific anti-codon) for a particular amino acid; and 'wobble' base-pairing, i.e. permitting non-standard base-pairing at the 3rd anti-codon position.
Source: RNAcentral
GGACAGGUGGCGGAGCGGUUGAACGCGCCAGUCUCGAAAACUGGUAUACCCUUCGGGGUAUCGUGGGUUCGAAUCCCACCCUGUCCG